This 348-nucleotide long non-coding RNA is filed under the name Microcebus murinus (gray mouse lemur). RNAcentral's name for it is "lncRNA (ENSMICG00000048512.1)". Lineage: Eukaryota; Metazoa; Chordata; Mammalia; Primates; Cheirogaleidae. The record is from RNAcentral.
UGGCUGACUUAGCAGAGCAAACAGGUGGUUCGGGAGGCGCAUCGGCAGACCCUGGGUGACCUGCACCUGGAGGAGGAGAAGCUCGACAACUGGAGCAGAGCAGAUUUGAAAUUGGAACAGCAAAUCCAUGAGCUUGAGAGUGCCCUUGAGCAGGACAGAAAAGUGAGAAUGAACUGUGAAAGGGAAAAUGUGCAGACUGGAGGGCGAUUUAAAGCUGAACCUGGAAAGCAUGGAGAACUUGGCGAGCGGCCAGCUGCAGCCAACAGAGAAGCUGAGGAAGAAGAAAUUAGAAAUGAAUCAGAUGAAUUCAAAGGUAGAAAAUAAGAAAGGCCUGGUGGCUCAACUUCA